AAACUAACAAGGAUUCCCCUAGUAGCGGCGAGCGAAGCGGGAAGAGCUCAAAUUUAUAAUCUGGCACCUUCGGUGUCCGAGUUGUAAUCUCUAGAAAUGUUUUCCGCGUUGGACCGCACACAAGUCUGUUGGAAUACAGCGGCAUAGUGGUGAGACCCCCGUAUAUGGUGCGGACGCCCAGCGCUUUGUGAUACAUUUUCGAAGAGUCGAGUUGUUUGGGAAUGCAGCUCAAAUUGGGUGGUAAAUUCCAUCUAAAGCUAAAUAUUGGCGAGAGACCGAUAGCGAACAAGUACCGUGAGGGAAAGAUGAAAAGCACUUUGGAAAGAGAGUUAACAGUACGUGAAAUUGUUGGAAGGGAAACGCUUGAAGUCAGACUUGCUUGCCGAGCAAUCGGUUUGCAGGCCAGCAUCAGUUUUCCGGGAUGGAUAAUGGUAGAGAGAAGGUAGCAGUUUCGGCUGUGUUAUAGCUCUCUGCUGGAUACAUCUUGGGGGACUGAGGAACGCAGUGUGCCUUUGGCGGGGGUUUCGACCUCUUCACACUUAGGAUGCUGGUGGAAUGGCUUUAAACGACCCGUCUUG
Molecule: ribosomal RNA, 578 nt
Filed under: Rhodotorula mucilaginosa
Lineage: Eukaryota; Fungi; Basidiomycota; Microbotryomycetes; Sporidiobolales; Sporidiobolaceae
Description: eukaryotic LSU rRNA
Rfam family: Eukaryotic large subunit ribosomal RNA
Source: RNAcentral